This 628-nucleotide ribosomal RNA is filed under the name uncultured bacterium. Its description in RNAcentral is "bacterial SSU rRNA". It matches the Rfam family "Bacterial small subunit ribosomal RNA", at positions 56 to 683 of the family's 1533-position model. The record is from RNAcentral.
UGCAGUCGACGGUAACAUUUCUAGCUUGCUAGAAGAUGACGAGUGGCGGACGGGUGAGUAAUACUUAGGAAUAUGCCUUUGUGUGGGGGAUAACUAUUGGAAACGAUAGCUAAUACCGCAUAACGUCUUCGGACCAAAGGGGGCUUCGGCUCCCGCGCAAAGAGUAGCCUAAGCGAGAUUAGCUUGUUGGUGAGGUAAAGGCUCACCAAGGCGACGAUCUCUAGCUGUUCUGAGAGGAAGAUCAGCCACACUGGAACUGAGACACGGUCCAGACUCCUACGGGAGGCAGCAGUGGGGAAUAUUGCACAAUGGGGGAAACCCUGAUGCAGCCAUGCCGCGUGUGUGAAGAAGGCCUUCGGGUUGUAAAGCACUUUCAGUUGUGAGGAAAGGUUAACGGUUAAUACCCGUUAGCUGUGACGUUAGCAACAGAAGAAGGACCGGCUAACUCCGUGCCAGCAGCCGCGGUAAUACGGAGGGUCCGAGCGUUAAUCGGAAUUACUGGGCGUAAAGCGCACGCAGGCGGUUAUAUAAGCUAGAUGUGAAAGCCCCGGGCUCAACCUGGGAAUAGCAUUUAGAACUGUAUGACUAGAGUCUUGGAGAGGGGAGUGGAAUUCCAGGUGUAGCGGUG